Oxyura jamaicensis (ruddy duck) is the source of this 2924-nucleotide long non-coding RNA. RefSeq lists it as uncharacterized. Lineage: Eukaryota; Metazoa; Chordata; Aves; Anseriformes; Anatidae. The transcript has 7 exons. The record is from RefSeq and is a predicted model, not a curated record.
AAGAGGGGUCUUGGAAGGCUCUGUGACCUCAGGCUUUAAUUCACAACAAUUUUUAUCUUGUACAUAAAAGGAAGAUAAAUUUUGGAUAACUUCAAAAUGCAUUUUAUUUAUUUAUUUAUUUUCUUUUUGAGCUGCUGCCAGUUGAAUUCAUGACAACUGAGGUGUUUUGCUUUAUGAAUAAGAGCAUCAACUACCCUAUUGUGUCCUGUCAGAGUAUCCUGGUAUUUCUACAUCCUCUCUAAGGUCCACUUUCAGACUUGGAGGAAUUUGAUCUGGGAAUUAGGUUUUGGACCACUUUGUUUCCAUUUUGCAAAUGUGUAGAUGCUGCAGUGAAAUACACAGUGGUUUCUAUUUCUUCCUCUCCGUAGGGAUGUUUAACUCCCAUUGACACUGAUGUGAGUUAUGCAUAUGUCUAAAGAGGAGAAGAGAGUCUUAGAUCUUUUUCUCAUCGUUUACAUGAGAUCAAAGGAAAUCAAAUAGAGUUAAUGAAGGGCCAGAUGGUGCUUUAUUUGUGCUCUGGAAGACAGUACAAGAGAAUGGAAGGAAUAUCUGUAGUUUAAUCUGGCAAAGAGGAGGAAAACUUACUAUCUUGUUUAAUGGGCACAGGAGCAAGUAUGCCAUAUCUUCAGAAGUGGGAAAGGUUUGCUUGUUUUCUCUCUCUCAGCAGAUUUUGGAUGCAGGGAUAGGGUUGCUUUUGGAAGGCACUGACUGAACAGAUUCCAGACUCUGAAAUCACUCAUAUUUUGUCUUUCUUGGAAACACAAAUUUCUUUGGGCCCUGUCAAUUCUUCAGAUUUUGCUUUUAAGUUGUAGGACAUGGGUGCUCUUCUAGUUCAUGGAAAAUGUGUAAUCUAAGCUGCUGCAAGGAGGCAAAGCUGCAGUGGCAGGAGAGCCUUUGAUUUAGAUCCUCACUGUGAAGGAGAUUUUGGCAGGAGAGAUACAGGAUGCAGUAAACUUUAUCAACUGUACACAGAGGAAGCCAUAUCCCAGAGGAUGCAAACGCAUGCAAAUUGUCUUGCCAGCAGGAGAGAGACUAGAAAUUGCAUGGACGAAGACCAGCUACUGAAAAACACUGGUGAAAAAGGAAAGAAAUAAUUGGAUGGAAGAGAGGACACAAAAGCAUGGACAGAGUUGGAUUCCUUUAGGUUGUGAGAAGGAUGGUGAAAUCUCACCUUCAGGGUGUGAAGAAAUGUGUAUUUGGAGAAGAAUGGCUGCAGUCACCACCAGGCAGCCAAGAGAUGCUUGAAUCAAAAAGCAUGGAGUCUCAACAAGCAAAGUCUGAGGGCAUGGGAAAAUUGAUGCUCUGAGCCUUCCUCCACCAAGCACUGAGCUCGGCUGGAAGUGCGGACGCUGAGGUCCUGGGGUUAGCCUUACAUCACUGGAGGACCAAAUAACAGAAGAAAAAUGCUAAAUAGGAAGCUGACCAUGAAGAUCAUUCCCAGGAAACUUUGCUUAAAUAUUGAAAACAAAGAUGGAACAUAUAAUACUGAAAAAAAAAAAACUCCAAAAUAUGAAUAGUAUGGUGUUGAACUACAAAAAGGCAUGGAUGGAUGGAUGGAUGGAUGCGUGGAUGCAUGGAGGGAUGGAAACCAGUGGAGAGCAUUGACUGUGAUCAAAGGUAGGAGCCCUGGGCAGCCUAACUCUUGCCUACAGAAGCUUGUGGCAUAACUAUCAUCUGGCAUGCAAAGUAUUGCAUAUUUUUAAAGGACUGAAAGUACACUGGGAUAGUGACUGCUUCUCCCUGAGUAUCUAGAAUAUGAACACAAUGAUACUUUUGGAUUAAUUCAGAGCUAUACCCCAGAAAAGUAGCUUACAAGACUGUAUCCAUAUGUACGUUGGUCCAUUAGACUUGUUUGUCUCAAAAAGUAGGAGAGGGUUUUGUUUGUUUAUUGUUUUGUUUGUUUGUUUGUUUGCUUGUUUUAUUUUUCAGACGUUUCCUGUGGGGUAAGAGCUUUGUAUGGCCAGAUUAUUUGGAGAUACUUCUUUAAAUGACUGUGAUCCUACUGAACUCUUAUGAUGCUUUUCUCAUAUUUUAAUCCAAAAGAAAGUACAUACCAGACCUUUUCAUCCUGUUCUCCAAACUCUUUACCAGUGGAAUGGCCUACUAUGGCUGCAGCUGGAAGAAGUUUUAAUUAGCUGCCAAUGAUGUCAUGUCCAUGUCUGUGUUAAAGGCACAGGUCUAAGUGUUCCUUUUUAUUUAAUGUACUGCAGAAAUUCCAUUUUGGGAUAGCAUUAAGACGCUUCAGAGCCAAUCUUGUAUUUCUCCCAUAGUUAAGACACUUGGCCUUCAGCCCCCUGACUUCUGACACUACCACAGUUGUGCUAUAAUCAUCCAGAAAUACACUGCCUGUUGUGUUUUAUUGCUCAUGUGAAAACUGUCCAAUUCCUUGUCAGUUGACAAGGGAGGAGCGCCGCAUUGAAGGAUUGCACAGCAGUGUGUCUGGGAGCUACGUUAUUUCACACCAGCAGCAACCUUUCAGUGUUUGCGCUGUAGCCUCAUAGAGUGUUGGUGCUUUUGCCAUACAGCGGAGAGCAAACCCUAUUGUAGUCACUCUCUCCGCCAGAGAGACUAACUCAUGUUGCCAAAUAUCUCCCCUCAACACAUUUAUUGAACAUUAAAACAGCAGAAUAACGUUGAAUGAAGUCCAGUAAUUUUAUAGGAUAUAUUUUAGUCACUAGACUUUGAAGACUAGUCCAAUGUUAAUUAUAAAGUUUCUGUGUCUGGAUAACAUAUUGUUAACAGUUAUUUUGUAAGUGCUAAUGGCAAGAUGGAAGAUUUCCAAUAGUUUUAUUGAGGAAGUGGCAAUUAAAAUGUUGAGCGCUGCAACAUACAUACAAAAUAAAAAUAAUCCUGCAUACACAGCAUUUUAUGUUUUAAAAAAAAAAGGAAAAUGGAAAAAAAAAAGGGAUGAAAUUUUUCCUUUG